Molecule: ribosomal RNA, 392 nt
Filed under: uncultured bacterium
Lineage: Bacteria
Description: partial 16S ribosomal RNA
Rfam family: Bacterial small subunit ribosomal RNA
Source: RNAcentral
AUACGGAGGAUCCGAGCGUUAUCCGGAUUUAUUGGGUUUAAAGGGUGCGCAGGCGGCCAUUUAAGUCAGCGGUUAAAUCGUGGGGCUCAACCCCAUUCUGCCGUUGAUACUGGGUGGCUUGAUUGCGGUCGAGGUUGGCGGAAUUCGUUGUGUAGCGGUGAAAUGCAUAGAUAUGAAGAAGAACACCGAUUGCGUAGGCAGCUGACCAGACCGCAAAUGACGCUCAUGCACGAAAGUGCGGGGAUCGAACAGGAUUAGAUACCCUGGUAGUCCGCACAGUAAACGAUGAAUACUUGUUUUCGGCGAUAUAAUGUCGGAGGCAAAGCGAAAGCGAUAAGUAUUCCACCUGGGGAGUACGCCGGCAACGGUGAAACUCAAAGGAAUUGGCGGGG